This is a transfer RNA of Gloeomargarita lithophora Alchichica-D10, 73 nucleotides long. It matches the Rfam family "tRNA". From Rfam's summary of the family: Transfer RNA (tRNA) molecules are approximately 80 nucleotides in length. Their secondary structure includes four short double-helical elements and three loops (D, anti-codon, and T loops). NCBI's taxonomy places the organism in Bacteria, Bacillati, Cyanobacteriota, Cyanophyceae, Gloeomargaritales, Gloeomargaritaceae. The record is from Rfam.
GGGGGUAUGGCUCAGUUGGUAGAGCGCCUGCUUUGCACGCAGGAUGUCAGCGGUUCGAGUCCGCUUACCUCCA